GACGAACGCUGGCGGCGUGCUUAACACAUGCAAGUCGAACGGAAAGGCCCUGCUUUUGUGGGGUGCUCGAGUGGCGAACGGGUGAGUAACACGUGAGUAACCUGCCCUUGACUUUGGGAUAACUUCAGGAAACUGGGGCUAAUACCGGAUAGGAGCUCCUGCUGCAUGGUGGGGGUUGGAAAGUUUCGGUGGUUGGGGAUGGACUCGCGGCUUAUCAGCUUGUUGGUGGGGUAGUGGCUUACCAAGGCUUUGACGGGUAGCCGGCCUGAGAGGGUGACCGGCCACAUUGGGACUGAGAUACGGCCCAGACUCCUCCGGGAGGCAGCAGUGGGGAAUAUUGCACAAUGGGCGGAAGCCUGAUGCAGCAACGCCGCGUGCGGGAUGACGGCCUUCGGGUUGUAAACCGCUUUCGCCUGUGACGAAGCGUGAGUGACGGUAAUGGGUAAAGAAGCACCGGCUAACUACGUG
This 468-nucleotide ribosomal RNA is filed under the name uncultured bacterium. RNAcentral's name for it is "partial 16S ribosomal RNA". It matches the Rfam family "Bacterial small subunit ribosomal RNA", at positions 28 to 507 of the family's 1533-position model. The record is from RNAcentral.